This 392-nucleotide ribosomal RNA is filed under the name uncultured bacterium. RNAcentral describes it as "partial 16S ribosomal RNA". It matches the Rfam family "Bacterial small subunit ribosomal RNA", at positions 523 to 917 of the family's 1533-position model. The record is from RNAcentral.
AUACGGAAGGUCCGGGCGUUAUCCGGAUUUAUUGGGUUUAAAGGGAGCGCAGGCGGAGAUGCAAGCGUGACGUCAAAUUUCGGGGCUCAACCCCGUCUCGCGUCGCGAACUGCGUCCCUUGGUUGCGGGAAGGGGAGGCGGAACUCGUGGUGUAGCGGUGAAAUGCAUAGAUAUCACGAAGAACUCCGAUCGCGAAGGCAGCCUUCCGGCCCGUCAACGACGCUCAUGCUCGAAGGUGCGGGUAUCGAACAGGAUUAGAUACCCUGGUAGUCCGCACAGUAAACGAUGGACACCCGCGGUUUGGCCUGUAUGGCUGAGCCGCCAAGCGAAAGCGUUAAGUGUCCCACCUGGGGAGUACGCCGGCAACGGUGAAACUCAAAUGAAUUGGCGGG